RNAcentral lists this ribosomal RNA (465 nucleotides) under uncultured bacterium. Its description in RNAcentral is "partial 16S ribosomal RNA". It matches the Rfam family "Bacterial small subunit ribosomal RNA", at positions 28 to 506 of the family's 1533-position model. The record is from RNAcentral.
GAUGAACGCUGGCGGCGUGCUUAACACAUGCAAGUCGAACGAUGAAGCCCAGCUUGCUGGGUGGAUUAGUGGCGAACGGGUGAGUAACACGUGAGUAACCUGCCCUUAACUCUGGGAUAAGCCUGGGAAACUGGGUCUAAUACCGGAUAGGAGCGUCCACCGCAUGGUGGGUGUUGGAAAGAUUUAUCGGUUUUGGAUGGACUCGCGGCCUAUCAGCUUGUUGGUGAGGUAAUGGCUCACCAAGGCGACGACGGGUAGCCGGCCUGAGAGGGUGACCGGCCACACUGGGACUGAGACACGGCCCAGACUCCUACGGGAGGCAGCAGUGGGGAAUAUUGCACAAUGGGCGCAAGCCUGAUGCAGCGACGCCGCGUGGGGGAUGACGGCCUUCGGGUGGUAAACCUCUUUCAGUAGGGAAGAAGCGAAAGUGACGGUACCUGCAGAAGAAGCACCGGCUAACUACGU